This 250-nucleotide ribosomal RNA is filed under the name uncultured bacterium. RNAcentral describes it as "partial 16S ribosomal RNA". It matches the Rfam family "Bacterial small subunit ribosomal RNA", at positions 524 to 773 of the family's 1533-position model. The record is from RNAcentral.
UACGGAGGGUGCAAGCGUUGUUCGGAAUUACUGGGCGUAAAGAGCACGUAGGCGGGUCCGUCAGCCAUCUGUGAAAGCCCAAGGCUCAACCUUGGAAUUGCAGUUGGAACUGCGGAUCUUGAAUACCUGAGAGGAUGAGGGAAUUCCUGGUGUAGAAGUGAAAUUCGUAGAUAUCAGGAGGAACACCUGAGGCGAAGGCGCUCGUCUGGCAGUGUAUUGACGCUGAGGUGCGAAAGCGUGGGGAGCAAAC